Macaca mulatta (Rhesus monkey) is the source of this 2313-nucleotide long non-coding RNA. The record is from Ensembl. NCBI's taxonomy places the organism in Eukaryota, Metazoa, Chordata, Mammalia, Primates, Cercopithecidae.
GCAUCUAUGUUAGGAGCAUGAAGACCAAUAAUGGAUGCACUGAGCUGAUUAUGAAUUUAGCCCUGAUCAAGACUUGUGUUGCUGUCGUGCUAUGAAAGAUUCCAGUAAUGAAAGCACUUGAGUUGAUUCAAGCACUCUUCUAUGGUCAUGAUCUCUGUGGUUGCCUCUGUGUGUUAGGAGCAUACAGACCAAUAUGGAUCAGAAUGAAUGCAUCAAGUGGGCUUAAGCAUUCUGCUUGAUGGAAAGCUGUAUUGCUGUUGUGUUUGGAAAGAAACUAACAGAAAAAAAUACUCGAAAUGUGUGAUUACUGAAAUGACUGACUGAAGGUGAAAAGCAAGGAUCAGUGGAGAGAAAGUCCCAGAUGUCUGUUCUCCUUCUUCGUUUUAAAAUCAUCUGUUCUGUCCUGUAUUUCUCACACUGGACCCAUCUGAGCUGAUUUAAGAAUUCUUCCAUGGUUAUGACUGUAUGAUUGAAUCUCUAUUAAGAGCUUGGAGACCAAUAGUGAUAAUCUCGAGGUGAUUUAUGCAUUCUUCCGUGGCCACCAGCCUUAUGGUUGCAUCUCUGUGUUAGAGCUUAGAGAUCAAUAAUGGAUGCAGCAAGCUGUUUCAACCAUUCUGUUGGGAUCAAGAUUGUUGUGUUGCCUCUGUGUUUGGAAAGAGACCAAGAAUGAACACGCUCAGGUGAUUUAAGCACUCUUCCAUGGCUACGAGCUCUGUGGUUGCCUCUGUAUAUUAAGAGCACAGAGAUUAAACUGACUUGAGAAUUCCUCCUUGGUCACAAGCUUUUGGGUUGCAUGUCUGCAUUAGGAGCCUAGAGAACAAUAAUGAGUGCGCUUGAGCCGAUUGAAACAUUCCUCCUUGCAUCUUUGUUCUAUGAUUGCAUCUAUUUGUUAGUAGCACAGAGACCAAUAAUGGACAUCGUUGUUCUGUCUUGAGAAUUCCUCUAGGGUCACAUGCUCUGUUUGCACCGUGCUUAGGAAGGAACCUGCAGACCAAUAAUAGAUGGCCUGUGCCGACGGAAGGAUUCCUCCCUGGUGACGUGGUGUGUCUGCCUCUUGAUUGGGAGCAGGCAGACCAAUAAUGAUGCACUUGUUAUGAUUUGAGAAUUCCUCCAUGGUCACGUGCUCUGUUUUUAUCAUGGUUGGGAGCCUACAGACCAAUAUUGAGGGAUUCCUUCAAGGCCAUGUGCUCUACUUGCACCGUUUUUGGGAUGGAGCCUGGAGACCUAGAGUGAACAACUUGUGCUAUGUUAAGGAUUCCUCCAUGAUCACGUGCCCUGUUUGUACACCAUGCUUGGGAAGAUGCAUGCAGACCAAUAAUGGACAUACUUGUGAAGAUUUAAAGAUGCCUCCAAGGUCACGUGCUCUGUUUGCACCAUGCUUAGGAAGGAGCAUACAGACCAAUAAUGGAUGAAUUGUGCACCUUGAAAAGUUCUUCCCUGACCACUUGAGGCACUUGCAUCACGGUUAGGCUCAGGCAGACUAAUAAUGGACGUACUUAUUCUGAUUUGAGGACUUCUUCAUGGGCACGUGUUCUAUUUGCACCAUGCUUAGGAAGGAGCAUGUGUACCAAUAAUGGAAGCACAGAAGCUGGUUUUCACUGGUUAAGAGCUAUCUCUGUGCUAGAAGCUGGACACCAAUAUCCAUGAUUGCAUCUAUGUGUUACAUGGUGUAUGGAGACCAAUAACAGUCACUUCCUGCACUGAUUCUGCCAUGAGCACUUGCUCUAUGGCUGUUUUAAGGAACCUGCAGACAAAGAAUGGAUUAUCAUUGGUGAAGACCUUGGCUGGAUGGAUAGACCAGAGCUGAUUAAAUUAUUCUUCCAUGAUGAGGAACUUUACCUUAUCCCUCGGAGUAAGGAGAAUGUCAUGCAAUGUAAGUAAUAAAGUUCUUGGGUUGGGUUGUUAGUUCAUGAUUUCUACUGUCAUUUAAAAAGAUAAUUAAAUUUUAAAAGGUCAUGCAUAGGCCUAUGAUGAGAAUGUGUUAUGGACCGAAACUAAUCCAAUUUAGCACAAGUGAAGUAUAAGGAAAAAAAACUUAGCUUUUCCAUUCAUUUUCAAUAGUUAAAUGUCACAUUAUAUGUUUGUCUCACUGAUUAUUUAUAGACUCUUCUCUUGAUAAAGGCUGUUACUCAUUUAUGGAGUCAGUAUUCUAGUUGUUGAGUAGGAUGGUGGUUCAAGCUUGUUCAUUUGAUAUCUAAAAAUGUUUCAAAUUAAAUGUAGAGGGGCCAUGUGUGGACCGAUGAUGUGAACGGAAUGCAUCUGAAUAAAAAUUAUGAUCAAUCAUUUUUGAACAACUGAGGUCCACUGCAAAAA